This 3376-nucleotide long non-coding RNA is filed under the name Homo sapiens (human). RNAcentral describes it as "non-protein coding lnc-WFS1-4:1". Lineage: Eukaryota; Metazoa; Chordata; Mammalia; Primates; Hominidae. The record is from RNAcentral.
GAUGAGCCCAGACAUCACUGGCUGCUCCGGUGAUCCUUGGUGCCGGUGUUUGUGUUUGGACGGGAUAAAAAUAUGCCUCAUUGCUCAUGAGGAAAGAAUGCUAGCAACUUUGGUUUUGUGGAUCUUACACAGUGACGGCUUCUAAGCCAUUGCUGUGGUCACCAGUAGGGAGUUGGGGCUGAGUGCCCCACCGUGCAGGUGGGGAUCUGAGGGUGCAGAGUGGAUGCAGCUGGAGAUGCCUGGAUGCUGGGGUCUGGGGGAGGGACUUGCUAAGGUCCCACAGCAUUAUUGCCUGGAUGGUGCUCCUGCCCUAGGCCAGGCUGCCUCAGGCUUCUGCCCACAUGCAUUCGUCCAUCCAGUGGGGCUACCCACCUCCUCAGAGCCUUGCACCUGUCACCUUUGUGGCACCCACUCGAGGUGGUGCUGACAGCCCGCAAAGGACAGAGUCCAAGACUGUGUGUUUCAGAUAAGAAGAGUCAGGAAGCAGCUGUGGUUUGUUUGGCUUCGGUCUCCAAUGUGGGGGUGGUGAAGAGCAAGCCCUGGGCGCCGGGCAGUGCCACCCAGACCAUGAGGACUGAGAGUGGCGGGGUUCCCCAAAAGGGACAUCAAGGUGCAGUCAUCAGAAAAAGCAAGGAACGGAGGUCGAGCACACAGAAAACACGUGUGUUUGAUGGUUCUUGGUGGUCCACACUGAUGCAGCCGGCUUCUGGGGGUGAUCUUUCUGGCACUGAGCAGUGAGCAUGCUGGGAUUUGCCUUUGAGCCCACGAAGGCUCCUACUUCAUGGACUGAGCUAACUGGUCUGCAGGACGAGCCCACCACUGCCAUAUGGAAGCUGGAAUAAUGAAGAGGGUGUGUGUCCAUCUCAAAGAGAUUCUGGGCUGGGCGCAGUGGCUCAGACCUGUAAUCCCAGCACUUUGGGAGGCUGAGGCAGCAGAUCACCUGAGGUCAGGGGUUCGAGACCAGCCUGGCCAACAUGGUGAAACCCUGUCUCUACUAAAAAUACAAAAAAACUUAGCUGGGCAUGGUGGCGGCCGCCUGUAUUCCCAGCUACUCAGGAGGCUGAGGCAGAAGAAUCGCUUGAACCCGAGAGGCAGAGGUUGUGGCGAGCCGAGAUUUUGUCAUUGCAUUCCAGCCUGGGCGAUGAGAGUGAAACUCUGUCUCAAAAAAUAAUAAUAAAAAAGAGAGAGAGAUUCUGUAUAUCGGGGAGAUGUCUUGAAAUGUCAGGCUGUGAAUAACUUCUGUGAAAAAUUAAUUAUGGACUGGAAGAAUCUUUUUAGACCACCAUAUAGACUUGGACCUUCCAUGUUUUGAUUUUUUUAAAAAAGGGAAGAAUAAUAUGACUUGUGAACUUAGGUCAAGUAAGGAGACUUGAAUUCACUAGAGGUGCUGGCGUUGUGGUGGGAAGUACAGCAACAGCCCUGGGGUCUCCUGGGGAAGUGGGGGAGGGAAGAGAAAGCCUCCUCUUGUGAACAGCAACUUUGGACCACUCACUACAAAGCAUCUCUUUUCAUCAUAAACCAUCCUAUCAGAUUGAUGUUAACGAUCAGAUUGAAGCUGCUUCGGAGCAGUGAUGUGGCCUGCACCAGGUCGCACAGCACCUUACUGUGGAGCAUGGAUCCACACGUGCGUCUGUGUCAUUGUGAUCGCUCACGCUGCUCUGUGGGCCCAUGGCCUUGGUGCCUGCAGGCUCUGUGUCUGCAGUUCCUCUAGGGAUAGUGAGUCUGCUGCUGAGCCCGCAGCCAGAAACCACGCUGGGGGGCUGGCAGGGUGACGGCAGCAAGGAAGGAGAACUGUCCUUGAUGGAUUCAGGGAGCACCAAGGUCUGGGGGCUCUGGGGAGGGUGGGUGUCCAAAAGGGCUGCCCUGCGGGACCUGAUGCCAUCUCUGAGCAGCGUCCUUGAGGACCCCGGCAAGGAAGCUGAGCCCGAAACUCUGUGCAAGAGUUGCGUCCAGGGAGAGUUACAUCCAGGGAGAGUUACGUCCAGGGAGAGGGGCGUCCAGGAAGAGGGGCAUUCAGGGAGAGGGACAUUCAGGGAGGAGUCUUCCAGGGACGGGGACAUCCAGGGAGAGGGGCGUCCAGCGAGAGGAGCCUCUAGGGAGGGGUACAUCCAGGGAGGUGGCCUGUCAGGGAGGGUGGUGUCCAGGGAAAGCAGCAUCAAGGGAGAGGGGUGUCCAGGGAUGGGGGCAUCCAGGGAGGGGGGCUUCCAGGGAGAGGGGCCUUUGUGUUGGCGAGUUGUCCAUCCACAGGGCUGGAGUGCGUGUGCCUGACCACGAGAGCUUGUGAAGAAUCCAUCUGAUUCUUUCCUUCUCCAAACACAUGCCUCACCCACACAGCCUUACCUGUGAGGGCCUCACCUGCCACCUGCGACUUUUGAGUUGUCCCAGCCUCCCUCUGCCCUCUCCAAACUGGGUGUGACCCUUCCUCUCUGCCUUUGCACCUGGCCACAUCCCAUGGUCUCCCACUGGAGUCCUGUCUCCUGUACACCUGGGUCAUCUGAAGGCAGUGGCCAGGCAGCACUUGGUGCUGCAGAGCCGGUUCAGAGCCUGGCACGGUAUGGUUCUGGGAAAGCCCUGGGUGAGUUGGACCAGAAAGGCUGGUCCUCAGUGUGGUGUUACUGGGAACCAUGCAGCCUGUCCCGUUGUCAGCCAGCCUUGGGUGAAAUGGGUAAGACUGCAUGAUGCUUUUGUAAAUUCAGGUAACUUCUUAGGAAGUAAAAUGCAGCACAAACUGUAGUUGAUGUUUUGACCCUUGGUCUAAUAAUUCAACUGGAGAACCUGUGCUAGGAAAAUGACUUCCCAAAAGAAAAGAAACGGUUCAUGGCACCACCGUAGAAAACAAGAGGUUAUUGGAAGCAACCUACAGACCUGAUGGAGAGGAGGGGAGGGUCAGUAACCUGACUCUGUCUCCUUGAUGGAUCUAGGAGCCACCAAAAUGGUGAGCUGACUGCAGCGCAUCGUGGGAAGCCAGAGAACAAUCCACUGCUGUGGACUGAAAGUUUGUGUCUCUCCCAGAUUCAUUUGCUGAGGUCUUCACCCCCAGUCCCAUGGUGUUAGGAGGUGGGGCCUUUGGAGGUGAUGAAUCAUGAGCGAUGGCUUUACGGUGGAAUUAGUGCCCCUAUAAAAGAAACCUCAGGGAGCUCCCUUGCCCCUUCCACCCUGUGAGGACACAGCCAGAAGACCUGAAACAAAAAGCAGGCCCUCAGUAGACACGGAGUCUGCAACACUAUGAUCUUGGACUUCCCAGUCUCCAGAAUCGAAAGAAAUACAUUUCUGAUGUUUGUAAGCCACCAGCUUGGUCUAUGGUAUUAAUAUUUUUGUUAUAACAGCUCGAACAGACUAAGGCAUUCACUCUUAAGAAGGAAAAGGUAAUAUCAAG